CUUAAUCUUGAUAAGCUAGGUUCACCUAAACAUAUACACUUGAUAAUGAAGCCCAAAUCUAUAUUAGCAAAAAUUGUCAUUGCUUACUGGUGCGGUAUCAUCAAGAUUCACAUAGUAAUAUUAUUCCCUGCUAGCUAGUCUUUUUUGGGACAUAUGCGAAUCUUGAUGAUGCUGCAUCAGAAAUCAAUCGACUGUAUUACAAUUCGAUCUAUCUCAAGCUUAUCGAUGUACGAUGUUAACCAACUGAGGUUAUGAUUCCUGCACCAAUAUAUAGUUUUUAGAACAGGUAAUUGGAGCUCUUUAUUAAAGAUCUAUUUUAAUUAAUUAGUAUAUAUUCAAGAAAGAGAAGCCACACAUGAAGAGAAAGGGUUAAUUUUCCCAUCUUUUCAUUUAUGGAGACCGGAGAUUUACUGCAAUUUAGACUGACCAAUAAUACCGGCUGCGGCUAUAUUUUUAGUUAAAAAGAAUUUUAUAGAAAGCUGGUGUUACAUGUUAUUUGUGUGUUAUUUUUGUGGUACCUAUAGUGUGGAGUAAGUUGUAAUUAGUUAUGCUCCUAGCUAGCUUGUGUAUAUAUUUAAAGAUAUCUAUAUCUA
Molecule: long non-coding RNA, 593 nt
Organism: Erigeron canadensis
Lineage: Eukaryota; Viridiplantae; Streptophyta; Magnoliopsida; Asterales; Asteraceae
Exons: 2
Source: RefSeq, a predicted model, not a curated record